Molecule: long non-coding RNA, 356 nt
Organism: Empidonax traillii (willow flycatcher)
Lineage: Eukaryota; Metazoa; Chordata; Aves; Passeriformes; Tyrannidae
Exons: 3
Source: RefSeq, a predicted model, not a curated record
GAAACAAACACUGCCUAAAUGUUACUGAACAAAGUCAAUGCAUUAUACCGAGGUAGCCAUGCAGCUAGAAAGCCUGACAGGUGUUGCGUGAAACACUGCAGGGAGGAGAACGGGCAGCUGUCUGAGAGCAUGACACUAAGGAGUGAAAUCAAUUACUAAGAUAUGGAGAGCUGCCAUACUGGAAAUAUGACUGGUUGCUUCUCAGAGAGAAGCUGAUGAAGCCCAAAUCUGCCACCACAAUCCACAUUGCUUACCUGAUCAAAGAGUUGCUUCCCCGUAGUGUUGGGCUGGAUGGCAAACUCCAGCUCAGCAUCCAUGGUCGUAACACGCACACUGAUCUGGAAGACAGAGAAAUG